Long non-coding RNA from Gallus gallus (chicken), 12311 nucleotides. RefSeq lists it as uncharacterized. The transcript is spliced from 5 exons. The record is from RefSeq and is a predicted model, not a curated record. Lineage: Eukaryota; Metazoa; Chordata; Aves; Galliformes; Phasianidae.
GGCCAGCGCGUUGGGCGAGGCGGGGCGGCGCGGAGCAGCCGUGUAACACGCUUUCAUUUCUGUAGAGAAAUAUCCAUGUGCUCCAUGCACGUCGCCGUUGCGCAUAAAGCAGAUGUUUUCUACAUGUUUAUUUAUUUAUUUGCUUGGUUCAGUGCCGUCCUGAUCCGCUGCUUGGGCUCCUCGGUGCUACCGCAGUGCAAACCUCCGUCCUGCACGUGAGCCUCGGAGCUGCUGCUGAAGAGGUGGAGCACGAUAGCAGUCUCCAAACACGGGUGUACAGCCUCUGGUAUCAAGAAGUGACAAACAGCACACCCAGUGACACCCACAGAGUGAAAACCUGUGCACGUAGCAGCCCGAAUGUGUUGGUAAGGUGCUCCCAGGUGCACCCAACCACUGCCCUCCAGCAGGUGCCAUCCAGCAGAUGGGAGCAGUUCUGGAGCAACACCUCAGAGAGCAGUUCCUGGAGGAAGCAUCGCUUCUUUCAGUGCCCAAAGCAUCAAAGUUGGUUGUACAGUACUGAAAGGAAACUAUUCACCCGUUCCAGGUCCAGAAAUCGACUCUGGAUGUCAUGGGACCACAUUGCUGCUGCAGAACCCACAGAAGAGGCAGAGGGGAAGUCUGAUGAAGCGAUUUUGGUUUCUGUAUGCUAAGAGUCGACUGGAAAACUCCUGUGUUGCCCUGACCUGCAAUACAACAACCUGCAGUCAGUUGAGACCUGAAGGGCAGGUGAUACGACGGGUAUUUUCACUUUAACAAGGUAAUCUUUGGAAGGAACUUCUUGGCUGUGCUUUAGGAUUUCUGGAACAGCACAGAGUGCGCUGAGUCAUGGAAACGCGGUGGGGACGAAGUCCAGCAGGAGUUACAGUGCAGAACUGAAGCUCAUUGCGUUUCCCACACAGCUGCUUUCCUGCAGCUCAACUACUGACUCAGUAAACAACAAAGCUUUCCUACCUGUGAGUAAUGUUAAAAAAAUGUGCCAAUGCUUAUUAAUCAUCUCUUACUUCAUCAUUAUCCAUGCUGAUUUACAUGAUAAUGAGUUAGUUGGGUACUGUAUUUCAGUAACUUGUACAAAUGUGCUCAGUGUGAAAUCCUGCUCACAGGUUAAGGAUUUCCAUGGACUUCAGCUGAAUCAGGAAUCAGAUGUCUGCUCCUGUCAAAGGACAGCCUUCCAAAGCUCGCUGCUGGCAGUUCAUCCAUGCAAAGCACAGAGCUUUAUGCACUUCAGUGCUGAAACGUCUGUAGCCAAAGUUUAGAUGGAACUUUUGUAAUAGCAUCCUAACUAUGCUAUUAAUGUGUUCCUUGCUUUUGCACCCUUCAGAUACUCAUCUACUCUAGUUAUUUCAUGCUGUAUUUAUUUAUUCAUUACUUAUUCUCAUGUCUAGCGCUCCGACUGUUUUAAUUACCUUACCUUAGUGUUUUGUUUUGCCAUUGCUCUGAUAAAGUUCUGUCUUCCUAUUUCACUUAUUGAAAGUAUCAGCAGUAGAAUACACCAAUUGGUGCAAAACUAUUGUAUCAGAACGGCAUCUCCAGUGUUACUGCACCAUCAGUGCUGAAGUGGAGAUGGUCUGAACAGCAGAAAUACUGUUCUGAUCACUGCCACCACCACUGCAACAGAAAGAGACUACUCAGACAUGUUGACUUUGCUUGUUUGCUUUGCAGUGGUAGCAUUAACUGCGGGAUCUCCUAUACUCUCCACAGUAGCUGCUUUUAACUUGACUCAGCAAAGGGAAAUGGAGGGAUAGUGCAUUUGUUCAAAACAUGAACUGAGGGAAGACUGUCCUGUGCUAUCUUUCUGUGCACUGGCUUCAGCAGCUGUGCAUCACCUGUUUCAUUGCUGCAUAAAUUAUACAGCAAUUUAGGUAGCAUAUGCCAGCUGAUGAAGUAAUAACCAGGGUGGCAUUACAUCAACCCCUAAAACCAGCUUCACAUCCUUUUUAUUAAAAAGAAAAAUAAAAGGUAAUGUAUCAGGGAAAGUCUUUGUACUUAUUUUGGUGUAAGGUGCACUUCAGUUUUAUGGACCAGGUCUUAGAAGCAUCAAUCACAGCUUAAAUGAGAAGAAAGUCAGUCGAAAAAGUACUAUUUGACAUUGUUUUGAAACUUCUUUUUACUGGGAAGUUCAUACUACGUCUCUUUCUUCUUCAUCCCUCUGCUUCUCUGCACUCAUCCUUCCUCAUUUUAGGCAGCUCUGCAAGAGCCACAGAAGGUUCCAGUUGUGCAUCAGGCUUCGUGUGUUACAGCAUUGCAGGCUGCUGGGAUCAACGCAGUGCUCUUUCACCUACUGAUGACAUACAUCUCCAAAGGUACUCUACUGAAGGGAGUAAUAAAUUCUUAAGGCAAUGCAAAAAGGUAAGUGUAGCAGAAAUGCUGUCACAGCCUGAACCAGUGAUUGAGCACCUGGUGGGAAGGCAGGACCAACCCAGGGAAGCUCAGGUGUAUGCAAUGCAAUGCAGUGCACCUGAGUGACUGGAAGGGAUGGAGCCAGGAUCCACCUCUUCCCGGAGGUCAUUUAAGGCUUGGCAGUGGAGGCAAGGGUAUCUUGCUGGAGGUUCCUGUCUACCUCAGGCUUUCUGUAGGUAAGCAGAGUCUUUUCUUUGUUUCUGUGUCUACAGCUGUGACAUUUGGUCAUGUGCUUAGUUGUUACAGCCUAGGACUUUGCUACUGUGGUGCUGCUGCUGUGCUUUCCAUUGCGUUACAUUAAGUGUAAGGCGAUGUGAACUCCCUUGAUAGAACUGGGAUUUGCAAUUGCAACUUUGAUCCUUCUCUGCUCUGGUUUUAUUGUUUAAAUAAUCAGCUCAAUUAUAUAUAAAGGUUUCAGUGCCAGAAGCAGUAUUUUUUUUUUUCAGUUAAGUUCUAUAUCAGAUAGGACCAUUUUGAUUCCUCAAAAUACAAUCCUUAGAAGCAGUAUGACUUGUAACAACUUUGUAUUUCAGUAAUCUUCAAAAUAGCAGCAUCUUAUUUCUGAUGUGUAUGAGCUCUCUUCAUGUUGCGGGUUUAACUGUCAAAAAACAAAAUUCCAGUAACACUGUACAUGCAGUAAGAACAAAUCUCAUUUAUUGUAUUGCAACAAAACAUGCACUGCCAUCUGAUGCUUCCAGUAGUUCCUGUCACAACUCGUCUUCACAGAUGACUUCAUAAAAUACACAACAGAUUGUUAAAUGAAAUCUGCUUUCUGGACUGAAUCCAGCUGUAUCGUCUGCUGGGGCCCUUAAACCUUAGCAGAGGUCUGAAAGCCACACCUGGCACUGAUGCUUCUGGAGCUGAGUGACAUGGUUUGGGAGUUCCAGCUGAACCCACUAAUAUUCAGUUGAACUUGGCAUACUUGUCUGUUUCAAUCAGUGUAUUUCAGACAUAUAUAUAUAUAUAUAUAUAUAUAUAUAUAUAUAUAUGAGGGAUAUAUAUCCAUACAUAUAUAUGGGAAAAAAAAAGAGGAUGUCUGAAAUACACUGAUAUAUAUGUAUAUCUCAGGUAUUUUACACAGACUGCUUGGUAAAUCCAAGAGAUGAUGGACUACCUGUAUGCACCUAUUACUGAGUCCAGCCUGCUGCUUGCCCAAAGGCAGCAAGAGCUGCUUUUUGGUGUAAGGAUGACAUGGCAUUGCAAAUGACUGGAUCAAGCAGUCCAGGAAUCUAAAUAUAAAUGAUAUGGUAGUUCUAAGUGCAAGUUGCUAACAUCUCUCUGUAAAGGUUUUUCCUUGCAUCUGUUCCCUCUGGUUGGAAGGAGGUCAAAUACAGAAGCACAAAGGAAAACCAAUGGUUAAGUAUGUAAACCUUUGCCAGCCACACAAACUAGCAGAGAACACCUUUCAAGCUAUAGUAAGACUAUCGUAUGGUGGAAUAUGCUCCUUAGGAGCUUUGUUAUCUAAAAGCUAUGCAGAAAUCUCAGUAAUUCUUGUGGCAACACUAUUUUAAUAUGGUGUCUGCCCCAAUCCUACGUCUGUAAGGCAGCACAGCAACUGUAACUCUUAAUGCAUUAAGUACAUAGGCUGUGAAUGUGGCACUAAGUGCCCAAAGUCUCUCUAGAAAUGAAAGUGUUUGCUAGUCAUGUUUUCUGGUAUAGAAAAUCUCAGCAGGUGUCGGGUUGCAUUCUACCAGGAAGAUGUCCAAGCUCACCUUCCUGCAUGGAGAGGCAGGGAACACAAACAAUUCUCCUGGGAUGUGGAUCACCACAGCAGCUAUAUUCUAUUUUCAGAGCUCUACUGGAAUGUUUCCAAGACCACCAUGACAAAACUGCUUCGGUAUGGGUGGUAAACAUGUCUCUACUGUUACUGCAGACUUUUCUGCUGUUUGCUAUGCAUUCUUUAGCUACUGUUUCUUGAGCGGAAGGAUUCUUUCUGCACUACCACCUCAUCCUUGGACCCCUCACUGGAUAUCCAUGUGGAAAAAGGCAAACAAAUCAUGUGCUCUGCUAAGCAGAUACCAUUUACAGGGUGGAACCUGCAGAUCAUCAAGGUAAGAAAUAAUCUGAUUGUUACAUGAGAGCUGAACCACAGCGUAAUUCCUUUCUAGUUCAAGCCUUGUCACUUAGUCAAGCUGCUUCGAAUUACAAUGGAGGAAAUGCCUGCACCUGCCGUGGGUGAGACAGCCCCUACUGAGCAGAUGAGGGGCAGGGGUUAGCAUCCUUAAAUCAAGAACUAAUGAACUGUUUUAAAAGAAUAAUGAUGAACUGAGUAUUAGCUGCCUUCCUUAAGGCUGCUUAUGUUAUAUAAGAGGGACCGUAUAUGACAUGGCAGUAUCUCUUUCCACCAUCUGCUUACAGUACACUGAAAGCAUAUGGAGAUACUAAUCCCAAAAUUCAGGUACUUUUACCUAAAUAGCACUUGGGAGUCCAUGAAGAGGGGUUCUGUUUUUAACAUUUUCUGAUCAGGUGCCUUUUUUCAAUGUUGAGAUGUUUACAACUUCAGUCAAACUAAUAAAUUAAAAGCUACGUGUACUUUUUGUCUUCAAACGUAUACUGUUAAAAGAGAGCCAGCAGCACUGACAGUAACAUGAAAUGUUAUAUUCACAGGACAGAUAUGUGCACAUCAAGCCUAAAACUUGCAUAUUAUACCAAACUGAACAUUAACAGGCCUAUGUAGCUGCUGGUUUUCAUCUAGUUAUAGUUCUUCCCUAACACAGGCUUUAAUAACAUAGCAUGCAGUGUUGCAGUUGCUAGCACUGAUUUGAUUAUUUAAGUCUUUCAUAAGCAUACACCUUAUACACAGAUCAGUGUUCAGUGUGCUGAAGCUUUUAAGGCGUUUUAAUACUGCAAAAACUGAAACUUCAGGGUAUCCAUUUCCCUCCCUAAAUAGUACCUGCUGAUGCCUUACCAACUGUAUGCAAAAAUCAAGGUGUAGUCAAGAGAAGAGCUCACCUUCUCAAAAGUCUACGUUCGUGAGCAACAAUUAGAACUUAUGCUCAGAUAACAGCUCUGGAGUAAGCAGAAUUCCUAUGCAUUCAACAGUAAAGUUGUAAGUAAGGAUUCCCCUCGUCUCCCAUCAGUGAUGUCUCAUAUCAAAAAUCACAAUUUACAGUGGGAUUUUUUACACUAAUUACUGUUAAAACUUCUUUUAAUAUGGUCUUGAUUUCACUUCAGUAGUCUGAGCGGUGUUUUCCUGUAAAAUUCACUUCCUUAUUUUGUAGAAAGUAAAGUCAAUUCACCAUAGGAGUUGCAUAAAAUUCUUUUAUUGAGUAAAUCAAGUGUGUACACUUCAAUGAAUAGACAAUUUCCAUUAACAUACUAAGUAUGUUUAUAAUAUCUAGGAUUCUGUCUUGCCAGAACUCUAAAAACUGGCUGCUGUAAGCAUAAAGCAUUAAUCUUCCAAGUUGAUCAGCAGUUAAGGGUCUCUGUAUCCCACAGCAGAGCACAUCUGGAUGAAGCCCUACCAGAACAAUGGUGGUACUGCACUGUAAUUACAUGAAAGGAUUAUCUACUUCUCAACAUACAACCCCACAGCAGAUGUGCAGUCAUUCACUUUGAAAAUGCUCCUGUAGGACUGCAAGUAUUCCAUGACAGAGCAUGACUUUUUGGGAGAACCUAUUCCUGCCUGCAGGAACCCACCAGCUUUCAGGUGAGUUUUAAGUUGAUCCUUGGAAACUUCACAAAGCCAAAGGAAGGUGCAUUAUAGCCGCCUGUUUGUAAGUAUGUAGCAUUAGUACUUAACUGAACGUUAAGAAGUAUGUAACACCUCCAUCCUAAUUGUAGGGAAUCUGAUCUUACUCUUGGAAUUUUUCUUCAGUAUCUUUGUAAGUUAUCACAACACCAAUGUCAACAAAAUGACAUGUGUGCCCUGAAAUGCAGCAUUUCACAAUACCAAAUUCCAGUUAAUAGUACUAUGCUCAAGUCUGUACCAAAUUUGCUGAGACACCAGUUUCAUUAAACCUCAAUAUGCUUAGAAACAGCUUCACUUCUCUUCACAUACCAAAGCUGCAGAGGUUAGGAUGGAGCCAAAAUGGUCCUGGUGUUAUAAUAAAGCCCUAAGAAAGGCAGCAGGUUGUAUAGUUACCUCCUUGUGAGCAAAAUCCCUGCCCUAAAACUAUGCAACCCACUACCUCUUCCUAGGAGCCCAAUGCUUCCUUUCUGCAGUUCUUCUUGCUUAGCAGCUGCUCUGUGAAGCCAGCUUAGCUUACCAGCUGCUUUUGGUCUUCUGCAUUUUUAGGCCAGGGCAUGUACUAGAAGUUUACAGUUAGCACUGUUUAAUAAGUGGUUAACCAGUAACACUCCUGGCUUAAGUACUCAUUAAUGGCUCCAUUUUCACUCUUACUACGCUAAACUUUCAGUCAUCAGAAUGUUUUCAUGCUUUUUGUUCCUUGUUGUUAUAGGAAGAUGUUAGGUGGUCACCCUAGGGCAGAAGCAGCUAGAUGGGGGUACACCUAGCGCUAAUGGGGUAUAAAGAACACAAUCUUUAAAUGCCUUCUUAUAAAAUCAGUAACCUCUUCAGACAGAAGUUACAAUUCUGGAUCUUGAGCACUCAAAUUUCAUAGCUUUACAUUCUCCUAAACAGUUGAAGGGAUCAAUUUUGGCCAUUCAACACUUUAAUCUUUGUAUUACAUUGUUUAAGUCUCUCUGGCUAGAAGAGCUAGAGAAAAAUAAGCAGGCGUAUUAAUGAAGUAUGACUGUAAGUCUCCCAGCUUCUACAGAACAGUGAUGGAAUGUUAAUGUAUUACAGAAAUUAAAACAGUUUAUGUCACCAUGUAUAAGCUUGAGCCAAGACUACUUUUAGGUUCAAAACCAAAUCGUUUUAGAAUGAUUUCCAGUCUAUGGUGUAUUCAGUUCUGUAUCUAUAAGAGAUGCAUUGUUGAUGUCCAGACAGUGCUGUGCCACUCACCUUGAAAGAAAAGUUGUAUUAGUUCCAUAAGGUUUGGGAUUUGCACCAUUCAAACUGAUCGUUAAUUAAGGACAGAAUUUACAGGAUUAAUGUGACACUCUCCAACCCUAAACUUAUCUGACAAGUAAACUUUUACUCAAUGUGGAAACAAACAACAGCAAAGGACCGCAGUUUGUUUUACUCCUCAGGGAAGGCAAUAGAUUGUAUAGUUAUCUCCUGAACAGGGUAAAAUAACUACCCUACAACUAUACAAUCUACUACCUCACUCUGACAGAGAAGCAUGUACUUAAGCUCUUUGCUGAAGUAGCUAACCACAGUCUCAUUCUCGAGUAUUAAUAUUUGAUGCUUCAGUUAGCAGUGUUAACACAACUUAUUAGAACAUCAACCGUUUGUAUUCGAUUACCCCACCUUAAAGGAAUCAAUCUGUUCUUACGUGUUAUCCUUAGAGAAGAUAAAUUAAUGUAGAGAAUUAGAAAAAAUCCAGAAGUAAUUACCUGUAGGCGUUGCAGAAAUAUUUGCCUGCUAUAAUAAACACUCCGAGUACAGAAGUUUGGGACAAUCUGACACUGUGCUUAAAACUGAACGGUCUCCGUUGUUGAUUUUCUGCUGCUUUAGGAAAGACAGUAGAUUGUAUAGUUAUCUCCCAGUUGCGGGUAUGACCCUAAAACUAUACAACCUACUACCUCAUCCCACAGUGCAGGCAUCUUCAGAGGUGAUGUCCAAAGAAUGGUGCUUUAAUAAAGACAGCUUAAGCUAACUGCAGGCACUUACAGUGUGCUAUGCUGGUCACAGGAAAAAAACAUUCCCAUCUCUCUCCACUCAUGCAAUGAUGUUACUGUAAGGAUAAGAUUCCUUCGUUUCAAAAGUUUACCAACUGUUUGGGUCUUAAUGUAUUUAACCUUUAGACAGUUAGCAAGCUGCAGCAGUCAUAGCAACUGUAGUCAUUAAACUUGUCUGUUACAGGAAAAAUACUAUUAGCGUUCCACAGAUGUCAUCUCUUAUCUGAAAUUGUAAGAAAAUGUCCAUGAGAAACAUCAUAUGCAGAUCUGCAUUUCUUCAGAAGUUAAUAGUAAUAAAAUCUAGGACCAUAACCAUGCAGCUGAUUUACAUGGAUCAGUAUAAGACCCUAAUAUUUAUAAUUCUUAAGAAAUCACUGUUUUUUAUUCUACUUAAUCACUAUUUUAAAAACAUUAUUAAAAAUAAACUUAUUAAGGUCUUAUAAUACGACAUUAAUUGUUAAACUGCCUUACCAAAAGGCCACUUAAAAUAUACAUUGCCUUUAGAUCAGAAACAACUGGGCUCCUCUGACUGCUCCUGAUAGAGCUUUAAAGCUGAUUUCUAUGUUACCAGAGCUCAACAUGACCUCAAGCUAAAAAGUCUAACAAUAUUGAAAUCAAAAUACUUGCCAGACUGAUGUGACUUACAGUCCCCUUCUUAGCAAGGACGUCUUGAGAACAGAGCUGAAGAGGAAAACUCAUCAUUUUAUCAAUGUAAUUUAUAAGAUAGCUGAAAGUGUUUACGGAAAUGCACAGAUUUUCAAACGUUAAAUACACGUUGUACUCAUACUUCAUCCCAAUUCUGAGCUGAGGUUUUCAGACCAGUCAUCAAACAAAGCCUUGAUAGAACAAGAGCUCCUAAUGCAUGUUAAUGUCCUUGCCAAAAAACACAACGCGUGAUCCAAUGCAUUAAUAUACAAAGGGAUGACGUUAUUCCUUGAACAGAGAAAAAAAUAGAAGUACUCUCCAGCCCCCUCAGAGCUUUACUCCAGAAUCCUUUGUACAAAUAUUGAUGACAAAUUUUGGUGAAUCACACUUAAAGUCUUGCUUGUAACCACUCACAGAUCAGAAUGUGUGCUUUAGCAUGCACAGAUGGACAUAAGCAGUUGGUCCUACAAAACACAAAUAAAUUACAACAGUAGCACUGGGACAAAGGCAAAUGACAGGGAAGCACUGGCACGUAUCGCAUCCUUUGAAUUAGCUCAGUUAGCCAUCCUGCUGUCAAGCAAAUAUUUGGUAAGGAUGCUGACAGUCCUUUCACAGUUCCUUAUUCCUACAUGCCAACCUUCCCCAGCUGAGCAGAGUUCAUGCAAGGAGCCCAUUCCUCCAUGGGAGAGGCACUGCUGAGCCUCUGCCCAGCCAGCCUUGCUACAGAGAGCGCUGGCUUGCUGUUUUCAGUUUGUCAUUUAUCCAUGAAGUCCAAGACAUUUCAAUUCAGGUCGAUCUUUAAGAUGAAGCUGCUGCUUCUCCAAUGUGCUGAAAAUGUUUUAAGUGCUUUGGAAAAACUAAAUAGAUGUUACUGUACAAAAAAAAAGAGGUACUUAAAAGAAUGUAAAACUUAUAAAAUACAUAGGAUACUUUUGAGUUUCCUGUUUUAAAAUGAACCCAGGAGGACGCUAAGAUUACAGAACAGAUUCUAAUCUGUAGCAUUUUGCCACCCCUAGAUGGCGUGAACUAAAAGCCUAAACAGCUUUUAAUGUUAUUAUUGCUACUGACAGGAGGACUUCUCAAUUAAGUUCUGUUACAGGAAAUUCUAACCUAUUUUCUACUGCCACCGUGAGACUUUCCUGUUAGGUACGUGCAGCUCCUGAAGCAUUUGUCUGCUUUUGGUUUCCAGAAACAUGAGCCUUUCAUCUAUUACAGGUCUGGAAGGGCUCUCUCUUACUUAAGGUCAAAAAUGUCCUUGAAAAAAUAUUUUGAAUGACAUCCAAUUGUUACCUUGUGGUUCUAUGCAACAGUCUGGCUUGAGAUCGAUGGUGAAGUGCACACAGGGCACCAGGAAAACCUCAUUCUGCAACAAAUACACCUUGGGAGAGAUCAUCACGUAUCCUGCUUUUUAGCUACAGAAGAAAAGCAGUUUUAUUGAUGGUACAUUACUCUGAAUUUCAGUAGCGUCACCUGCACUGGAGCUGUACUUGGACUCCCACUGCCACUUUUGGUGAGGGAAUUUCUGCCACCUCCUCCAGCCCCCUGUGAAGACCCCACACACCCACCUUCCACAGUGAGUACGUGCAGACCUGCAAACUUGCUUUUUUUUUUGACUGGGGGUGUUGGGGGAUUGCAGGCACAACACUGUGAUUGAUGCAAACUUAAUUAUCCUCCACGUUGCUUCCCCUCGGCUGCCCCUAUACUGCUGUCACACACUACGUCCAUAUCUCAUCACUCCUUCCAGAAGAGUCUAAGAUCACGUAAUUACUGAAACAAAAGCUUUAGUCAGUGUGAGUUAAGAACUCUUUCUAUUCUCAAUUCAGUUUUGGAUUGUACUUUCCUUUAAUACUGUGCUCAUCUUGAUGGAGCCUCAUUCCUACUGAGCAUCCAAGAGAAGUGACAAAGUAGAACCUAAAGAGGCGCUGCCUUUCUGAAGAGUGCUUCCCAUGAGUUUCCUGAGCUACUGUAUGUAUUUGAAACCUCUGAAACAGUUCUAAACUGUAUAGGGAAAAAAACUGCUGGCGUUUACACGUUCUCAUUUAGUAGCACACAGUACACCACCAGCAUUCUUAAUCAGUCUGUAACCUGUGAAACAGAAGGAAAAAUAGCUCAAGCCACCCUUACAGCGUGGAAGGGACAAAAUGUGACUUUGUGAAAGUAAUCAAAGUCCCAUUUUGUUUCAGUGUGACCCUAAAAGAUGGAUGUUUUAUCCUCCCACUUGAUUUUGUCAAUUUUGCAGCACAGAAUUAAUAACCCGAAGCUGAAAGGGUGUUUGUAGAAGCAACACUUCUUAUCCUAACUGUGCUUUACUGACAUCUGUUGUUACGUGGUGUGGAGAUAAACAGAUGCAUCAAUUUGAGGUAUAUAAUGCUGCAGUACAUCCUUCAACAAAAAGACCAUUUGGCAACCAUUUGUAAACAGCUUGUUACCAAAGACUAUUUCACUCUCAUGUUUAAAUUCAACUUUAAAAAUCUCAGUGGAUAAAAUUAAGUACAGCAGAAAAGAUGAAGCUUUAAGGUUAAAACAAACAAAAAUCGUGUGUGAUGGUUAGGACUAAACCAGAUGAGUUUCUUUUUUUCCUUUGUGCCAAACAAAUUCACCUACAGUGAAAAUAGGCCCCAUGCAAGAAAGCAAACAUGCUUUAAUUAGAACAUAAGAUGUGGUGAUGAAGGCCAGAAGCCUUUCUAAGAGUCAUCUGCUUAAGCCCAAAACCUUAAAACUUAGUAUUAUUAGUAUUUAUUUGGUAUGUAUGUAUCUAAUUUUUAGUAUUUAUUUGGACACUGUAGUCAAUUUAGCAGCAAUACAUUGGAGUAAGUGUAAAAGUGCGCGCCAUACAAAUCACAGAUAGGCUUUAACUCCAAAUAUGAGCAGCACCGAAAUGCAUGCAGCUGGCAGGGCUGAGUGUCCACUACAUUAAUACCUCUGAGUGUCAUCAGCGAUGCCUUUAUCUCGUGUCUCUGCCAGAAAUGCCAAGCUUUUUCCAAAAACCUACAUCCCACUUACAUGUAAUUGCUUUAAGAUAAAGCAGCCUGGUUUCGACUAAUUAUAACGUGAAAUAUUACUGGUUUGUUCCAUUUGCAGUUAUUAUGUUUGAUUUUCAUUUAUUUUUCUGACCACGUCGUUACAGAAGGAAUAUAAAUCUCCAGAAACACGGCUUGAAAGAAAUUAGGAGUCACUACUGCCCACUCAUGCAUGGAAUGAAGCACAUCUCCUGCAGAAAAGUAAAGUAUGUGAUCAUGAUUAAUAAUUUUGAACGUGAGCAAAGAAUGACAGGAAUGCAAAUUGGAGCAACUUCCUCUGCAUGUACUCAGUUUUCACGUUAAUAUUAAACUAUCUGCAUCUAAGUGAGCAUUCAUUCUUUAGUUCUCAAAGCAAACUACACAGAUGAAUGCUACGUAUUCUAUUCUAAAUUUAACCCCUUCUCUGCUAUUCAAAACUAAGCCCUAUUGAUGCAUUUCAGUUACUUAUCGUUUAGAAAUUGCCUCUUGUUAUGCCCAUAAACCCAACACUGCUCCAGUGAGAUUCCUGGUGUUGUUUUUUAAACUGUUUGGUGUUUGAUAGAAACCAAAAAAAAGGAGGAAAAA